Molecule: ribosomal RNA, 1510 nt
Filed under: metagenome
Description: bacterial LSU rRNA
Rfam family: Bacterial large subunit ribosomal RNA
Source: RNAcentral
UCCAGUACCACCAUGCUCGCGUCCGUCCCAAUACUCUGUUGCUAAGGGGCUGUGUUGACUUCGGUCAACGCGAACCGACCCACAUUGUUGCGGGAAGCUGUAGGGGGACGCAGGAAGGUAGAUGAACCCGGUGAAUGGUAGAACCGGGGUAAGCGUGUAGGGGGAGGACCAGGUAAAUCCGGGCCUCAUAAACUCUGAGACGUGAUACCGAGCCGCUUCAGGCGAAGUCAUUGAUCCUAUGCUGCCUAGGAAAGCCCAGCAGCGAGUUGACAUGGUGCCCGUACCCCAAACCAACACAGGUGGACAGGUAGAGCAUACCAAGGCGAGUGGGAUAACUAUGGUUAAGGAACUCGGCGAAUUGCCUCCGUAACUUCGGGAGAAGGAGGACCCCAGUAGCGUGAUGAGACUUGCUCUCUGAGCGUGAAGGGGUGGCACAAAAUUGAGGGAAGCGACUGUUUACCAAAAACACAGCAGCGUGCUAAGCCGUAAGGCGCUGUAUACGCUGUGACUCCUGCCCGGUGCUGGAAGGUUACGGGGAUGGGUUAGUCCUUCGGGACGAAGCUCUGAACCUAAGCCCCAGUAAACGGCGGCCGUAACUAUAACGGUCCUAAGGUAGCGAAAUUCCUUGUCGGGUAAGUUCCGACCUGCACGAAUGGAGUAACGACUUCCCUACUGUCUCAACCAUAGACCCAGCGAAAUUGAAGUACGAGUAAAGAUGCUCGUUAGCUGCAGAAGGACGGAAAGACCCCGUGGACCUUUACUAUAACUUGAUGUUGUGUUUUGUCAUAUGUUGUGUAGGAUAGGUGGGAGACUUGGAAGCAUGGACGCUAGUCUGUGUGGAGUCAUCGUUGAAACACCGCCCUGCAUAUGGUGAGGCUCUAACCUAGACCCGUUAUCCGGGUUGGGGACAGCGUCAGGCGGGUAGUUUAGCUGGGGCGGUUGCCUCCUAAAGAGUAACGGAGGCGCCCAAAGGUUCCCUCAGCCUGGUUGGCAAUCAGGCGUUGAGUGCAAUGGCAAAAGGGAGCUUGACUGCGAGACCUACAAGUCGAGCAGGAGCGAAAGCUGGGCAUAGUGAUCCGGCGGUUGCGUGUGGAAGCGCCGUCGCUCAACGGAUAAAAGGUACCCCGGGGAUAACAGGCUAAUCUUGCCCAAGCGUCCAUAGCGACGGCAAGGUUUGGCACCUCGAUGUCGGCUCAUCGCAUCCUGGGGCUGAAGCAGGUCCCAAGGGUUGGGCUGUUCGCCCAUUAAAGCGGUACGCGAGCUGGGUUCAGAACGUCGUGAGACAGUUCGGUCCCUAUCCUCUGCAGCCGGAGGUGAAUUGAGGAAAGCUGUCCCUAGUACGAGAGGACCGGGACGGACGCAGCUCUCGUGUGCCAGUUGUCCUGCCAAGGGCAUGGCUGGUUAGCGACCUGCGGAAAGGAUAACCGCUGAAAGCAUCUAAGCGGGAAGCCUCUUCCAAGAUGAAUUCACCCACAGGGUUAACCUGGUAAGGCCCGUGGUAGACCACCAC